GUGAGACAGGUUUUGUCAGGGGAAAGGGAGGAGGGGUGAGACAGGUGUUGUCGGGGGAAAGGGAGGAGAGGUGAGACAGGUGUUGUCAGGGAAGAGGGAGGGGAGGUGAGACAGGUGUUGUCAGGGAAGAGGGAGGAGAGGUGAGACAGGUGUUGUCAGGGAAGAGGGAGGAGAGGUGAGACAGGUGUUGUCAGGGAAGAGGGAGGAGAGGUGAGACAGGUGUUGUCAGGGAAGAGGGAGGGGAGGUGAGAGAGGUGUUGUCAGGGAAGAGGGAGGGGAGGUGAGACAGGUGAUGUCAGGGAAGAGGGAGGACAGGUGAGACAGGUGUUGUCAGGGAAGAGGGAGGAGAGGUGAGACAGGUGUUGUCAGGGAAGAGGGCGGGGAGGUGAGACAGGUGUUGUCAGGGAAGAGGGAGGAGAGGUGAGACAGGUGUUGUCAGGGAAGAGGGAGGAGAGGUGAGACAGGUGUUGUCAGGGAAGAGGGAGGGGAGGUGAGACAGGUGUUGUCAGGGAAGAGGGAGGAGAGGUGAGACAGGUGUUGUCAGGGAAGAGGGAGGAGAGGUGAGACAGGUGUUGUCAGGGAAGAGGGAGGGGAGGUGAGACAGGUGUUUUCAGGGAAGAGGGAGGAGAGGUGAGACAGGUGUUGUCAGGGAAGAGGGAGGGGAGGUGAGACAAGUGUUGUCAGGGACAGGGAGGAGAGGUGAGACAGGUGUUGUCAGGGAAGAGGGAGGGGAGGUGAGACAGGUGUUAUCAGGGAAGAGGGAGGAGAGGUGAGACAGGUGUUGUCAGGGAAGAGGGAGGGGAGGUGAGACAGGUGUUGUCAGGGAAGAGGGAGGGGAGGUGAGACAGGUGUUGUCAGGGAAGAGGGAGGAGAGGUGAGACAGGUGUUGUCAGGGAAGAGGGAGGGGAGGUGAGACAGGUAUUGUCAGGGAAGAGGGAGGAGAGGUGAAUAAAGGACUACAGGACUAAAGUAGCAUUGCACACUGUAUAGACAUGUGGUAUCUGUGACUCCAGGGUUGUAGGCCUAGCUUUAAGAGCAGCAGUGGCAGGUGAGCUAGACCUGAAAUGAAUAAAAACCAGCUCACUAAAGUCUGACAUCAGAGCUUCUCAAACACAGUCAAACUGUGUCUCUACUUCUAUAGUAAACUAACUUUACUGGUUCACCAGAAAACUGCAGUCUUAUAAAUGUAGGAGGGAAAGCGGAAAUGUUUGGUACUGA
Long non-coding RNA from Oncorhynchus keta (chum salmon), 1218 nucleotides. RefSeq lists it as uncharacterized. Lineage: Eukaryota; Metazoa; Chordata; Actinopteri; Salmoniformes; Salmonidae. The record is from RefSeq and is a predicted model, not a curated record. The transcript has 4 exons.